UUGUGACUAUAACGGAGAUGUUACACCUGUUCCCAUCCCGAACACAGAAGUUAAGCUCUCCUGUGCCGAAGAUAGUUGGUAAAGAUAAUGCCUGCGAAAAUAGGUCGUUGCAA
Molecule: ribosomal RNA, 113 nt
Filed under: Deferribacterales bacterium
Lineage: Bacteria; Pseudomonadati; Deferribacterota; Deferribacteres; Deferribacterales
Also listed under: 1 other name
Source: RNAcentral